RNAcentral lists this ribosomal RNA (253 nucleotides) under uncultured bacterium. Its description in RNAcentral is "partial 16S ribosomal RNA". It matches the Rfam family "Bacterial small subunit ribosomal RNA", at positions 524 to 776 of the family's 1533-position model. The record is from RNAcentral.
UACGUAGGGAGCAAGCGUUGUCCGGAAUCAUUGGGCGUAAAGCGCGCGUAGGUGGCCAUAUAAGUCCGUUGUGAAAGUCAAAGGCUCAACCUUUGAAAGCCGAUGGAUACUGUGUGGCUAGAGUACGGAAGAGGCGAGUGGAAUUCCUGGUGUAGCGGUGGAAUGCGCAGAUAUCAGGAGGAACACCAAUAGCGAAGGCAGCUCGCUGGGACGUUACUGACACUGAGGCGCGAAAGCGUGGGGAGCGAACAGG